This 560-nucleotide long non-coding RNA is filed under the name Homo sapiens (human). RNAcentral describes it as "non-protein coding lnc-HHAT-3:1". Lineage: Eukaryota; Metazoa; Chordata; Mammalia; Primates; Hominidae. The record is from RNAcentral.
ACAAGUCCCACCUAUUCCCAUCCAGCCCCCAGAUGCAGGGACCUCAUCAGAAGCUGUCUCUUCUUUGGGAGUCACAACAUUGGUUGACUGUACUCUUAUUUCCCUCACUCUCUGUUAUUUACCUGUUGGGAUUUAAAAUAGUCAUCUCCUAUGUUAACUCUCUUCUCUUUCCCCCAACUUUGAGCAGCUGUGAAAGAUGGGGCCAAGCAGACGUGAAAACUGAAGCUGUACUCAGGCCAUUUUCCUUCUGGGGAAUCUUAACACCAAGCUGCACCUAACAAUUGUUCUACCCAAGCAACACUGCAAGAAAGCAGACAUGAGGAGGAUAGAGGCACAGGAGGUUAAUGGAAGGCCCUCACUGAAAGCCCUGGCCCACAGAAUGUGCCUCCCAAACUGUGUGAGGCCUGCGAGCGUUCUGUGUACAAGAGACCAGCCCUGUCUCAGGUACCAAGCGGAAAUAGUCAAUAGCCCAUCAACCGACAGGGGCAGCCUGGGGCACCUGCUGAUUCUUGCAGUGAUGAUCUGUGUUACUUAACUUGACAUCAGUGUGGGGAUAUUCU